Molecule: ribosomal RNA, 450 nt
Filed under: Triticum aestivum (bread wheat)
Lineage: Eukaryota; Viridiplantae; Streptophyta; Magnoliopsida; Poales; Poaceae
Description: partial small subunit ribosomal RNA
Source: RNAcentral
GGUAGCAAGGCCUUCCCCCACAUCAAGUGCAUCGUGCUUGAUCUCCCACACGUGAUCGCAGGGGCGCCUGCCAUCGAAAACGUCCAGUUUGUCGCCGGCGAUUUGUUUGAGUACGUGCCACCGGCCGACGUUAUUCUGCUCAAGUGGGUUAUGUGCUUGUGGCAAGACGAAGAUGCCAUCAAGGUGCUACGACGGUCGACGGUGCAAAGAACCGGUAGAAGCGCCGGGGGGAAGGUGAUAAUCAUCGACGUCGUGAUAGGCUCCGGGGUGUCGCGGGACGAAGUUCUUCUUAGGGAGAUGCAGGUUCUAUAUGAUGUCUUCAUGAUGCGCGUUGACGGGACGGAUCGAGACGAGCAUCAGUGGAGGAAGAUCUUCUUUGAGGCCGGCUUCAAGGACUACAAGAUCACUCCGAUGCUUGGAUAUCGGUCCAUCAUUGAAGUCUACCCUUGA